RNAcentral lists this ribosomal RNA (468 nucleotides) under uncultured bacterium. Its description in RNAcentral is "partial 16S ribosomal RNA". It matches the Rfam family "Bacterial small subunit ribosomal RNA", at positions 28 to 507 of the family's 1533-position model. The record is from RNAcentral.
GACGAACGCUGGCGGCGUGCUUAACACAUGCAAGUCGAACGGAAAGGCCCUGCUUUUGUGGGGUGCUCGAGUGGCGAACGGGUGAGUAACACGUGAGUAACCUGCCCUUGACUUUGGGAUAACUUCAGGAAACUGGGGCUAAUACCGGAUAGGAGAUCCUGCUGCAUGGUGGGGGUUGGAACGUUUCGGCGGUUGGGGAUGGAUGCGCGGCUUAUCAGCUUGUUGGUGGGGUAGUGGCUUACCAAGGCUUUGACGGGUCGCCGGCCUGGGAGGGUGAACGGCCACAUUGGGACUGAGAGACGGCCCAGACGCCUACGUGAGGCAGCAGGGGGGAAUAUUGCACAAUGGGCGGAAGCCUGAGGCAGCAACGCUGCGUGCGUGAUGACGGCCUGCGGGUUGUAAACCGCUUUCGCCUGUGACGAAGCGUGAGUGACGGUAAUGGGUAAAGAAGCACCGGCUAACUACGUG